AGAUAAUCUGUGUUUAUCAUGGAUAACCAGGUGCAAUAACACAUCAAAACUCAAUUAAACAUUGACCUACAGCAACAAUUGCUACAGAAGUGACAUUUAUUGAUAUUCUGCUGUAUUUACAGGUUGAACAUUGUAAAACUCCAAAGUGAAUGACCACUUGGCAGAAAGCACAGGAGUGCACAUUAAAUCUACAUUUCCAAUGCAUCAGAGUCUCUGCUAACACAAAUUAUAAAAGCAAGAAUUACAGGUAUGUUAGGAAUUGUCUCAAAAGUCGUAAGCCAAAGAAAAAAAAAGGCCUUUGUUUUGCAAGAUGGUUUUUAUACAAAGUUGCAACAUGAUCUUUUAGUUUUACACUACAGACCUGUUCCGUGAAAACCCCUGGGGAGCCCAAAAAGUUGGUGUGCGAAAGGAAAGGAUACUACAACACCGAGAGUAAAGACUGUUAAAAGUUAAUACUUGUGCCACUUCUAAAUUCCCAAUGACACCUCGGAGCCUGGACUGCAGCCACCCCUUUUCCUCCACAGGCCCCUGGGGGACUGCAGGAGCACAGCCACCCUGCUGACACACCUUCAGAGGUGCUGUCACCUCAGCUCCAGAGUCACCCUGCGUGCCAGACAGGACAGGGGGACAGGGAUGGACUGGGAUGGACAGCAGGACACGGGGGNNNNNNNNNNUGGGUUGUACAGGACACGAUGCACACAGGCUGGACAGGAUGUGGCACGUGGGGACUGUACAGGACAUGGGCUUACAUGGGCUGUGCAGGACACAGAGCACACACUGUGCAGGACAGGCUGUCACAGACUGUGCAGGACAGGCUGUCACACACUGCACACACAGGGUGUCACACACUGCACAGGGUGUCACACACACUGCACAGGGUGUCACACACACUGCACAGGCUGUCACACACACUGCACAGGGUGUCACACUCUGCCCAGCACAGGCAGAGCCCGGGCAGCUCCCAGGCUGGAGGAGGAACUAAAGCAAGCCUGGCCCCUGCUGGUCCCGGGACGGCUCCUGCUGCCCAAACACCACAAACUCCGGCUGAACGGCUCCAUCAGCACUCACUGCAAGAGCUGCUUCAAACAUUAGCCACUAAUGAGUCAACAAUUACAGAAUUCUGCGUUAAUUAUUAAAAUUUUACACCUAAAAACAAAUUGAAAGAAAUGCUUCUCCUUUUUUUUUUUUUUUACUUUUUCCAACAGUACUUUUAUUUAUUUAUUUUAAAGCAGGUGAUUAUUUUUUCUUCUGCUCCAGAGCCUUGAUUCACUUCCUGCAGGUGUCCUGCUGCUUCUUGGGGGGGAUUUCACUAAUGCAGGAAGACAUUUGCCAGAAAACAUCUGUUGGAGAAGGAUAUUGAACACCGACACUGCAGUCAGAGGGUUAUUUUGGAUAACAGGAGGAUGUUGUUCACACAGCACAGGAUGUCUAAGGGCUUAUGAAGUGUCUCAGCACACAAUGAUGUGACUCCAGCAAAAUGCUCAGGAAUCUGUGCGUAUUUUAUGGGAUAACACCAGGAUUGUGUCCAUUACUGCACAGAAAGCUGGAAUACUAAAUACUAAUACUAAACUCCAGCUUUUCGCCAGAUUCAUUUCACCAGGUUGCAUUUUCUUGUUUGCACUCAUUAUUGCUCUCCUAAUUUUCUAAAAAUUAUCCCUGCUCUGAAAUAAAAACUAAUCCUUCACUGUGCCCUUUGCA
RNAcentral lists this long non-coding RNA (1698 nucleotides) under Chloebia gouldiae (Gouldian finch). RNAcentral describes it as "Erythrura gouldiae (Gouldian finch) lncRNA (ENSEGOG00005005275.1)". The record is from RNAcentral. Lineage: Eukaryota; Metazoa; Chordata; Aves; Passeriformes; Passeridae.